Molecule: ribosomal RNA, 121 nt
Filed under: Aegilops tauschii subsp. strangulata
Lineage: Eukaryota; Viridiplantae; Streptophyta; Magnoliopsida; Poales; Poaceae
Source: RNAcentral
GGAUGCGAUCAUGCCAGCACUAAAGCACCGGAUCCCAUCAGAACUCUGAAGUUAAGCGUGCUUGGGCGAGAGAGUAGUACUAGGAUGGGUGACCUCCUGGGAAGUCCUUGUGUUGCAUUCC